This 659-nucleotide long non-coding RNA is filed under the name Mustela putorius furo (domestic ferret). RNAcentral's name for it is "lncRNA (ENSMPUG00000029101.1)". The record is from RNAcentral. Lineage: Eukaryota; Metazoa; Chordata; Mammalia; Carnivora; Mustelidae.
ACAGAGUUGGUCCUGUUGGGUCUUUUAACCACUUCUGUUUGGCCGGAUAGCACAGCCCCAUUUCCCCCAGGAACCCCCAGACCUAGAACCUGUGAUAGAAGCUCAAAGCACUGCAACCUCGUCUUCCUCAGAACCUUAGGCUCCCUUCAAACCCCUGCUCCGGCGGAUCGGUAACACAUUAACUUGGCUUACUGCCUGCUUAUCUGCUCUUCCGUCUGCCUCCCUGAGUCACGUUCUCCUCUCCAUCAGUCAGGGACGUGGCCCUUGCGGUCCGCGGGCCCCGGGUGGUGGUUCUCUCCUGGGAAGCCUUAGAGUUCUCAUGUCGACCGUGCUGGGCGCGGAGCGAGAAAGGACGUGAUUUCCGGGAGCUGCAGCCUAAUGAGAAGACGAAGCUGAUACCUCCCGGAGAGACUGAGAAGGAGCCUGAGACGGGUCGUGGACAUCCCGUGAAUAUCAGAUACCAUAUUUUGGAGGGGUUAGAAGAAGGGGAUAUGGUGUUCACAUUUGCUUCCACGGAUUCCAAUCAAUCUUCCCUUGGAAACACACACACCCUGGCAAGUAAUCUUUCCUAAGCAAGAGCAAAGCUAUUUUAAAAAGGUGAGAAUUUUCUUAAUCUUUCAUUUUUCCUUCUUCUUAGUUUCCUGUAAAAAGUUAGGAAC